RNAcentral lists this ribosomal RNA (427 nucleotides) under uncultured bacterium. RNAcentral describes it as "partial 16S ribosomal RNA". It matches the Rfam family "Bacterial small subunit ribosomal RNA", at positions 355 to 774 of the family's 1533-position model. The record is from RNAcentral.
UGGGGAAUAUUGCACAAUGGGCGCAAGCCUGAUGCAGCCAUGCCGCGUGUGUGAAGAAGGCCUUCGGGUUGUAAAGCACUUUCAGCGAGGAGGAAGGGUAGUGUGUUAAUAGCACAUUGCAUUGACGUUACUCGCAGAAGAAGCACCGGCUAACUCCGUGCCAGCAGCCGCGGUAAUACGGAGGGUGCAAGCGUUAAUCGGAAUUACUGGGCGUAAAGCGCACGCAGGCGGUUUGUUAAGUCAGAUGUGAAAUCCCCGCGCUUAACGUGGGAACUGCAUUUGAAACUGGCAAGCUAGAGUCUUGUAGAGGGGGGUAGAAUUCCAGGUGUAGCGGUGAAGUGCGUAGAGAUCUGGAGGAAUACCGGUGGCGAAGGCGGCCCCCUGGACAAAGACUGACGCUCAGGUGCGAAAGCGUGGGGAGCAAACA